RNAcentral lists this signal recognition particle RNA (299 nucleotides) under Aotus nancymaae (Ma's night monkey). RNAcentral describes it as "Metazoan signal recognition particle RNA (ENSANAG00000013301.1)". It matches the Rfam family "Metazoan signal recognition particle RNA". From Rfam's summary of the family: The signal recognition particle (SRP) is a universally conserved ribonucleoprotein. Lineage: Eukaryota; Metazoa; Chordata; Mammalia; Primates; Aotidae. The record is from RNAcentral.
GCCAGGCAUAUUGGCACAUGCCUGUAGUCCCAGCUACUCGGGAGGCUGAGGCUGGAGGAUCACUUGAGUCCAAGAGUUCUGGGCUGUAGUGCACUAUGCCAAUCUAGUGUCUGCACUAAGUUCGGCAUCAAUAUGGUAGCCGCCCAGGAGCGGGGGACCACCAGGUUGCCUAAGGAGGUAUGAACCAGCCCAGGUUGGAAAUGGAACAGGUCAAAACUUCUGUGCUGAUCAGUAGUGGGAUCAUGCCUGUGAAUAGCCACUUCACUCUAGCCUGGGCAACAUAGUGACACCCCAUCUCU